RNAcentral lists this ribosomal RNA (1859 nucleotides) under Escherichia coli. Its description in RNAcentral is "partial 23S ribosomal RNA". It matches the Rfam family "Bacterial large subunit ribosomal RNA", at positions 1005 to 2843 of the family's 2925-position model. The record is from RNAcentral. Lineage: Bacteria; Pseudomonadati; Pseudomonadota; Gammaproteobacteria; Enterobacterales; Enterobacteriaceae.
CCGUCGUGAAGAGGGAAACAACCCAGACCGCCAGCUAAGGUCCCAAAGUCAUGGUUAAGUGGGAAACGAUGUGGGAAGGCCCAGACAGCCAGGAUGUUGGCUUAGAAGCAGCCAUCAUUUAAAGAAAGCGUAAUAGCUCACUGGUCGAGUCGGCCUGCGCGGAAGAUGUAACGGGGCUAAACCAUGCACCGAAGCUGCGGCAGCGACGCUGAUGCGUUGUUGGGUAGGGGAGCGUUCUGUAAGCCUGUGAAGGUGUGCUGUGAGGCAUGCUGGAGGUAUCAGAAGUGCGAAUGCUGACAUAAGUAACGAUAAAGCGGGUGAAAAGCCCGCUCGCCGGAAGACCAAGGGUUCCUGUCCAACGUUAAUCGGGGCAGGGUGAGUCGACCCCUAAGGCGAGGCCGAAAGGCGUAGUCGAUGGGAAACAGGUUAAUAUUCCUGUACUUGGUGUUACUGCGAAGGGGGGACGGAGAAGGCUAUGUUGGCCGGGCGACGGUUGUCCCGGUUUAAGCGUGUAGGCUGGUUUUCCAGGCAAAUCCGGAAAACUAAGGCUGAGGCGUGAUGACGAGGCACUACGGUGCUGAAGCAACAAAUGCCCUGCUUCCAGGAAAAGCCUCUAAGCAUCAGGUAACAUCAAAUCGUACCCCAAACCGACACAGGUGGUCAGGUAGAGAAUACCAAGGCGCUUGAGAGAACUCGGGUGAAGGAACUAGGCAAAAUGGUGCCGUAACUUCGGGAGAAGGCACGCUGAUAUGUAGGUGAAGUCCCUCGCGGAUGGAGCUGAAAUCAGUCGAAGAUACCAGCUGGCUGCAACUGUUUAUUAAAAACACAGCACUGUGCAAACACGAAAGUGGACGUAUACGGUGUGACGCCUGCCCGGUGCCGGAAGGUUAAUUGAUGGGGUCAGCGCAAGCGAAGCUCUUGAUCGAAGCCCCGGUAAACGGCGGCCGUAACUAUAACGGUCCUAAGGUAGCGAAAUUCCUUGUCGGGUAAGUUCCGACCUGCACGAAUGGCGUAAUGAUGGCCAGGCUGUCUCCACCCGAGACUCAGUGAAAUUGAACUCGCUGUGAAGAUGCAGUGUACCCGCGGCAAGACGGAAAGACCCCGUGAACCUUUACUAUAGCUUGACACUGAACAUUGAGCCUUGAUGUGUAGGAUAGGUGGGAGGCUUUGAAGUGUGGACGCCAGUCUGCAUGGAGCCGACCUUGAAAUACCACCCUUUAAUGUUUGAUGUUCUAACGUUGACCCGUAAUCCGGGUUGCGGACAGUGUCUGGUGGGUAGUUUGACUGGGGCGGUCUCCUCCUAAAGAGUAACGGAGGAGCACGAAGGUUGGCUAAUCCUGGUCGGACAUCAGGAGGUUAGUGCAAUGGCAUAAGCCAGCUUGACUGCGAGCGUGACGGCGCGAGCAGGUGCGAAAGCAGGUCAUAGUGAUCCGGUGGUUCUGAAUGGAAGGGCCAUCGCUCAACGGAUAAAAGGUACUCCGGGGAUAACAGGCUGAUACCGCCCAAGAGUUCAUAUCGACGGCGGUGUUUGGCACCUCGAUGUCGGCUCAUCACAUCCUGGGGCUGAAGUAGGUCCCAAGGGUAUGGCUGUUCGCCAUUUAAAGUGGUACGCGAGCUGGGUUUAGAACGUCGUGAGACAGUUCGGUCCCUAUCUGCCGUGGGCGCUGGAGAACUGAGGGGGGCUGCUCCUAGUACGAGAGGACCGGAGUGGACGCAUCACUGGUGUUCGGGUUGUCAUGCCAAUGGCACUGCCCGGUAGCUAAAUGCGGAAGAGAUAAGUGCUGAAAGCAUCUAAGCACGAAACUUGCCCCGAGAUGAGUUCUCCCUGACUCCUUGAGAGUCCUGAAGGAACGUUGAAG